AUUGAACGCUGGCGGCAUGCCUUACACAUGCAAGUCGAACGGUAACAGGUCUUCGGAUGCUGACGAGUGGCGAACGGGUGAGUAAUACAUCGGAACGUGCCUAGUAGUGGGGGAUAACUACUCGAAAGAGUGGCUAAUACCGCAUGAGAUCUACGGAUGAAAGCAGGGGAUCGCAAGACCUUGUGCUACUAGAGCGGCCGAUGGCAGAUUAGGUAGUUGGUGGGAUAAAAGCUUACCAAGCCGACGAUCUGUAGCUGGUCUGAGAGGACGAUCAGCCACACUGGGACUGAGAACCGGCCCAGACUCCUACGGGAGGCAGCAGUGGGGAAUUUUGGACAAUGGGCGCAAGCCUGCUCCAGCAAUGCCGCGUGCAGGAUGAAGGCCUUCGGGUUGUAAACUGCUUUUGUACGGAACGAAAAGCCCCGGGUUAAUACCCUGGGGUCAUGACGGUACCGUAAGAAUAAGCACCGGCUAACUACGUGCCAGCCGCCGCCGUAA
RNAcentral lists this ribosomal RNA (498 nucleotides) under uncultured bacterium. Its description in RNAcentral is "partial 16S ribosomal RNA". It matches the Rfam family "Bacterial small subunit ribosomal RNA", at positions 30 to 523 of the family's 1533-position model. The record is from RNAcentral.